RNAcentral lists this transfer RNA (73 nucleotides) under Diaphorina citri (Asian citrus psyllid). It matches the Rfam family "tRNA". From Rfam's summary of the family: Transfer RNA (tRNA) molecules are approximately 80 nucleotides in length. The record is from Rfam by way of RNAcentral. Lineage: Eukaryota; Metazoa; Arthropoda; Insecta; Hemiptera; Psyllidae.
GCCUAGUUAGCUUGGUUGGUAGCGCGUCUGCCUCGUAAGCGCUAGGCCGCGGGUUCGAUUCCCGCGCGGGGCG